UGGCGGCAGCGGACCGUGGAGGCCGGGUGCAGCCCCGUCGGCUGCGCGCUCUCUGCAGAAAAGGAUUUUCUACGCUCCCCGCCCAUCACUUGGAUCUCGUCUGGGGAGGGGCGGAUUUUUUUUCUGGAAGUACCCUUCUUCUCCACGGUGGAGGAUUUAAGGCUGGGCUCCAAUCGAGGCGGAGGCUGCAGGGCCCGCGGGGCGCCCCCCGCCCGGCGCACGCCUGCCCGGAGCCCGGGAAGGCGCAGCCCUGGGUGGGGGGGCCCGUGCACCCCCGGAGGCGGCAGCGGCGAUAAACCUGCCAGUAAUUUCAGCAAAUGAAACGUGGAACACGUCAAGGCCAGAGGAUGGAAAAGGCUCCAGUUUUGAUAAAAGGAGGCCUGCUUGGCUUGGAAUCCUCUCUCCUGCUGGUUGGGAGAUGCAAAGAUGUUUCCAGAGAGGGGCUGAUGAAUUGAGGGGAAAGAAAUGAGCCCAGUAUGAGUCCCCUUUCAGGGCUGAGCGGGUAUAAAACCAAACAACUUGGAACCGCUCCAAGAGAGGGGAUUAAAGCAACAUGUUAUUCUGAGUGAUUGCUUAAUUUAUUGAGCUGCGGCUGGAUCUGUAAUGAAAUACAGCCCUUGUAACUGAUAACCUCCUGCUGCCAUUGAACUUCUACAAUUAAGGAAUAUUUUCUGAGUUUCUCUGGAACGGCUCUGAAUUUUUAGCCUCUGUGGUAGGGUGCUUCUGAACAUUUGUUUUCCAGGCAAUUUUUUUUUAGUAUUAGGCUGAUGUUAAUAAAUAAGCAGCAUUUUAUUGAGUGUUUUGUGGGAACCAGGAACUUUAUAUACAUUGUUUCUAAUCCUGACACUAAUCCUGUCAAUAUCCAGUGAAAUAACUCCUAUUAUUCCCUAUUUUACAGAUGUGAAGCCACGGGAUGUUAGGUCAUUUUCUAGAGUGGUGCUGUCCAAGACAGUAGCUGUGAUGGCUCCUUGUGGCUAUUGAUGUGUAAAUUAGUUAAAAUUAAAUAAAUUUUAACAUUUACACCCUAGGUUGCACUAACAAUGAGUUCAAGUGCCCAGCAGCCCCGUGUACUGUGGCUGAUGGCUACCACAUUGGACAGUGCAGAUAUAGACCAUUUGAAGGUUACACAAGUGCUGUUGGUCAGCACUGACUUAGAUUUCCUUUUUUUUUUUUGAGAUGGAGUCUCGCUCUAUUGUCCAGUUUGGAGUGCAGUGGUGCAAUCUCGGCUCACUGCAACCUCCGCCUCCUGGGUUCAAGUGAUUCUCCUGCCCCAGCCUCCUGAGUAGCUGGGACUACAGGAGCAUGCCACCAUGCCCAGCUAAUUUUUGUAUUUUUAAUAGAGAUGGGGUUUCACUGGCCAGGCUGGUCUCGAACUCCUGACCUCAGGGGAUCCACCUGCCUCAGCCUCUCAAAGUGUUGGGAUUACAGGUGUGAGCCACCACACCCAGCCAGGUUCAGAUUUCAUAGCUAGAACCUGGCAGUGCCAGAAUUCAAGCCGAAGCUAAUGGGCUUUGAAGGCAGAGUUCAUCUGCCAGCCUUGUUGCUUCUUUUUCUUCCCUCUGCUGAGAAGCAAGGAACAGAGCAGUGACUGUAACCCCCUGGCUACACAUUAGAAUUACCUGCAAUUCUUUUUUUUUUUUUUGAGACGGAGUCUCACUCUGUAACCCAGGCUGGAGUGCAGUGGUGUGAUCUUGGCUCACUGCAACCUCCACCUCCCAGGUUCAAGCAAUUCUCCUGCCUCAGCCUUCCAAGUAGCCGGGAUUAUAGGCACACACCACAACGCCCAGCUAAUUUUUGUAUCUUUAGUAGAGAUGGGGUUUCGCCAUGUUGGCCAGGCUGGUCUCGAACUCCUGACGUCAGGUGAUCCACCCUCCUUGACCUCCCAAAGUGUUGGGAUUACAAGCAUGAGCCACCGCACCCGGCCUACCUACAAUUCUUUUUUUUUGAGAUGGAGUCUCGCUGUCUCCCAGGCUGGAGUGCAGUGGCGCGAUCUCAGCUCACUGCAAGCUCUACAUCCCAGGUUCAUGUCAUUCUCCUGCUUCAGCCUCCCGAGUAGCUGGGACUACAGGCACCCGCCACCACGCCCAGCUAAUUUUUUGUAUUUUUAGUAGAGACGGGGUUUCACCAUGUUAGCCAGGAUGGUCUCAAUCUCCUGACCUCCUGAUCCUACCACCUCGGCUUCCCAAAGUGCUGGAAGCUGUGAGCUUUUUCCCAAAGUGCUGGAAGCUGUGAGCCGCCACGCCUGGCCCCUGCAAUUCUUUAAAAAAAACGAUGGUAGGGUCCCAGGCCCAGAUAAUCUGACUUCACUGUGAUUAAGCCGGGUUGGGACAGGCAUCAGAGGUUUUUCUACUUCCCCAUGUGAUGCCACUGUGCAGCCAGCACGUAGAGCAGCUAGGCGUGAGGACCCACACAGAGGACGCUGGAAGCAGCUGGUUCAUCUGCCAGGAGAAUGCAGUAUCUUGUGACCAAGAAGUGGGCUUCUCCCAGGGCCACUUCUAAACCACCUCAUCAGAGAGCUCAGGUUCAUAUGCGAGGGAAGAAACUGAAGUGCUUUCUCACACGCUUCCAGCUUGAUGAGAAUCACAGUAGGGAGCUUUGCUUUUCCAAACAGGCUUUGUCACAUGAUCAUGGAAGAAAGGAGAUGCCCACGUAAGAUCACAGAGACAAGGUGAAAAACCCGUAGCCCCGAAUUGGAAUUGGAAGCAUCAGUAUGAAUUCAUGCUAUAUUUUUGUCUUACAAAGUAAAGCAGGUGUUUGCUAGCUCUGUCAACCAUAAAGUUUAGAAAUAAUGAGCCAUCCAAUAGCAGUGAACACCCCAGCACCCAGGUUAUGGUGUCUAAACGCCACUUCCGACUAGGAAUGAGGGCAUGGAGAAAUAACCAAUUCCAGGUCUGAGGCAAGAAAAAAAAUUCAAGAUGAGCCUGGAACAUCUGGUCAUUCCUUGCUUCCUUGAUAGCAGGGAAGGUGAGGGUCACAUUGAAAAGGAUGCAGGAGACAACAUGGAGCGGCUCCCAAUGGGGAGAGUUUGAGCAUCAUUAACAAUAAUGGGCCGAGCGCGGUGGCUCACGUCUGUAAUCCCAGCACUUUGGGAGGCCGAGGUGGGUGGAUCACAAGGUCAGGAGAUGGAGACCAUCCUGGCUAACACAGUGAAACCCCGUCUCUACUAAAAAUACAAAAAAUUAGCCGGGUGUGGUGGUGGGGCACCUGUAGUCCCAGCU
Molecule: long non-coding RNA, 3218 nt
Filed under: Pan troglodytes (chimpanzee)
Lineage: Eukaryota; Metazoa; Chordata; Mammalia; Primates; Hominidae
Description: lincRNA
Source: RNAcentral